AUUGAACGCUGGCGGCAUGCCUUACACAUGCAAGUCGAACGGUAACAGGUCUUCGGAUGCUGACGAGUGGCGAACGGGUGAGUAAUACAUCGGAACGUGCCUAGUAGUGGGGGAUAACUACUCGAAAGAGUGGCUAAUACCGCAUGAGAUCCACGGAUGAAAGCAGGGGAUCGCCAGACCUUGUGCUACUAGAGCGGCCGAUAGCAGAUUAGGUAGUUGGUGGGAUAAAAGCUUACAAAGCCGACGAUCUGUAGCUGGUCUGAGAGGACGAUCAGCCACACUGGGACUGAGACACGGCCCAGAAUCCUACGGGAGGCAGCAGUGGGGAAUUUUGGACAAUGGGCGCAAGCCUGAUCCAGCAAUGCCGCGUGCAGGAUGAAGGCCUUCGGGUUGUAAACUGCUUUUGUACGGAACGAAAAGCCCCGGGUUAAUACCCUGGGGUCAUGACGGUACCGUAAGAAUAAGCACCGGCUAACUACGUGCCAGCAGCCGCCGUAA
Molecule: ribosomal RNA, 498 nt
Filed under: uncultured bacterium
Lineage: Bacteria
Description: partial 16S ribosomal RNA
Rfam family: Bacterial small subunit ribosomal RNA
Source: RNAcentral